RNAcentral lists this ribosomal RNA (253 nucleotides) under uncultured bacterium. RNAcentral's name for it is "partial 16S ribosomal RNA". It matches the Rfam family "Bacterial small subunit ribosomal RNA", at positions 524 to 776 of the family's 1533-position model. The record is from RNAcentral.
UACGUAGGCAGCGAGCGUUAAUCGGAAUUACUGGGCGUAAAGCGUGCGCAGGCGGUUUUGUAAGUCAGAUGUGAAAUCCCCGGGCUUAACCUGGGAACUGCGUUUGAAACUACAAGGCUAGAGUGUGGCAGAGGGGGGUGGAAUUCCACGUGUAGCAGUGAAAUGCGUAGAGAUGUGGAGGAACACCGAUGGCGAAGGCAGCCCCCUGGGUUAACACUGACGCUCAGGCACGAAAGCGUGGGGAGCAAACAGG